Molecule: ribosomal RNA, 873 nt
Filed under: uncultured Bacteroidota bacterium
Lineage: Bacteria; Pseudomonadati; Bacteroidota
Description: bacterial SSU rRNA
Rfam family: Bacterial small subunit ribosomal RNA
Source: RNAcentral
GGACUUUGAAACUGGCUCCCGAGGAACACUAGCUACAGGCUUAACACAUACAAGUCGCGGGGCAGCAUGUCGGUUGCUUGCAACCGAUGAUGGCGACCGGCGCACGGGUGAGUAACGCGUAUCCAACCUGCCCUUCACCACGGAAUAAUCCAGUGAAAAUUGGUCUAAUACCGUAUGAGGUCAUACAAUGGCAUCAGAAUAUGACGAAAGGUUUAGCGGUGAAGGAUGGGGAUGCGUCUGAUUAGCUUGUUGGUGAGGUAACGGCUCACCAAGGCGACGAUCAGUAGGGGUUCUGAGAGGAAGGUCCCCCACAUUGGAACUGAGACACGGUCCAAACUCCUACGGGAGGCAGCAGUGAGGAAUAUUGGUCAAUGGGCGAGAGCCUGAACCAGCCAAGUAGCGUGCAGGAAGACGGCCCUAUGGGUUGUAAACUGCUUUUAUAUGGGGAUAAAGUGAGUUACGUGUAGCUUAUUGCAGGUACCAUAUGAAUAAGGACCGGCUAAUUCCGUGCCAGCAGCCGCGGUAAUACGGAAGGUCCAGGCGUUAUCCGGAUUUAUUGGGUUUAAAGGGAGCGUAGGCCGCCCCUUAAGCGUGUUGUGAAAUGCCGCGGCUCAACCGUGGCACUGCAGCGCGAACUGGGGGGCUUGAGUGCACGCAACGCAGGCGGAAUUCGUGGUGUAGCGGUGAAAUGCUUAGAUAUCACGAAGAACUCCGAUUGCGAAGGCAGCUUGCGGGAGUGCGACUGACGCUGAAGCUCGAAGGUGCGGGUAUCGAACAGGAUUAGAUACCCUGGUAGUCCGCACAGUAAACGAUGGAUGCCCGCUGUGUGCCCUAGUGGUACGCGGCCAAGCGAAAGCGUUAAGCAUCCCACCU